AUUGAACGCUGGCGGAAUGCUUUACACAUGCAAGUCGAACGGCAGCACGGGGGCAACCCUGGUGGCGAGUGGCGAACGGGUGAGUAAUACAUCGGAACGUGCCCGGUCGUGGGGGAUAACGUAGCGAAAGUUACGCUAAUACCGCAUACGAUCUGAGGAUGAAAGCGGGGGACCUUCGGGCCUCGCGCGAUCGGAGCGGCCGAUGGCAGAUUAGGUAGUUGGUGGGGUAAAGGCCUACCAAGCCGACGAUCUGUAGCUGGUCUGAGAGGACGACCAGCCACACUGGGACUGAGACACGGCCCAGACUCCUACGGGAGGCAGCAGUGGGGAAUUUUGGCCAAUGGGCGCAAGCCUGAUCCAGCCAUUCCGCGUGCAGGACGAAGGCCUUCGGGUUGUAAACUGCUUUUGUAUGGAACGAAAAGGCUCUGGCUAAUACCUGGGGCUCAUGACGGUACCGUAAGAAUAAGCACCGGCUAACUACGUG
This 484-nucleotide ribosomal RNA is filed under the name uncultured bacterium. Its description in RNAcentral is "partial 16S ribosomal RNA". It matches the Rfam family "Bacterial small subunit ribosomal RNA", at positions 30 to 507 of the family's 1533-position model. The record is from RNAcentral.